RNAcentral lists this ribosomal RNA (253 nucleotides) under uncultured bacterium. RNAcentral describes it as "partial 16S ribosomal RNA". It matches the Rfam family "Bacterial small subunit ribosomal RNA", at positions 524 to 776 of the family's 1533-position model. The record is from RNAcentral.
UACGUAGGGUGCGAGCGUUGCCCGGAUUUAUUGGGCGUAAAGGGCGCGUAGGCGGCCACGCACGUCCGUUGUGAAAUCGCCCGGCUCAACUGGGCGGGGUCAGCGGAUACGGUGUGGCUCGAGCAAGCUAGGGGGCAAUGGAAUUCCCGGUGUAGUGGUGAAAUGCGUAGAGAUCGGGAGGAAGACCGGUGGCGAAGGCGGUCUGCUGGGCAGUUUCUGACACUGAUGCGCGACAGCGUGGGGAGCAAACAGG